CAGUAGCCGCGGUAAUACGAAGGGUGCAAGCGUUAAUCGGAAUUACUGGGCGUAAAGCGUGCGCAGGCGGUUGUGUAAGACAGGUGUGAAAUCCCCGGGCUUAACCUGGGAACUGCGCUUGUGACUGCACAGCUAGAGUAUGGCAGAGGGGGGUGGAAUUCCACGUGUAGCAGUGAAAUGCGUAGAGAUGUGGAGGAACACCGAUGGCGAAGGCAGUCCCCUGGGCCAACACUGACGCUCAUGCACGAAAGCGUGGGGAGCAAACAGGAUUAGAGACCCCUGUAGUCCCUGUCUCUUAUAC
Molecule: ribosomal RNA, 301 nt
Filed under: uncultured bacterium
Lineage: Bacteria
Description: partial 16S ribosomal RNA
Rfam family: Bacterial small subunit ribosomal RNA
Source: RNAcentral